This is a long non-coding RNA of Rhagoletis zephyria (snowberry fruit fly), 1088 nucleotides long. RefSeq lists it as uncharacterized. The record is from RefSeq and is a predicted model, not a curated record. Lineage: Eukaryota; Metazoa; Arthropoda; Insecta; Diptera; Tephritidae.
UAUUUGGCUUUUUAGAGCUUAUGUCAUUGGAUAUGUGUACAUAUGUAUGUAGUGUGUGAACGUAGUAGAUAAUAGAUUCUAAAAUAAAAAUUAUAGUUGAAGUAAAUGUUGGCGAAAAAGUGAGUACAAACAAACAUUGCGAAAAAGGCCGAGUAAAAACACUUACGGAAGCGUAAAAUCACGAUGCUGCUUGCUUGUUGAGUUUCAGCGCGGUAGCUAGUCACUCUGGGAGUGUUCUUUGCUACGGUUCGAGUGCCAAUUUUAGUGAAGCGUGCUUGUUGUGAAAGAAAACGCGCUGACACAACUACAACUGCGUGUAGUAUUGGAGAAUCGAAGCAGAAAAUUAGCGAAACGCUGUGACGAGCGCCAAAAAUAUAACGCAAGUCACAAGAACAACCAGGCGAAAUAAAUAUUUCAUAAAGAAACGUGAAAUAAUAAAAAAAAAAGUAGAAAGAGCUGAGAAAUCGAGCGUUAAACGGAAAAUGUGCGAAUUAUUUAAAAAUGAUUUCCGAAAAUAAAUUAGACGCGUGACGAAAACGAAACCACAAAUAAAAGCAUAAUUGAGUAAAAAAAUAAUUUUGUUGAAAAGAGAACUGUAUAAUCAAAAACAAAAAAAUCGCAUAAAAAAAAAUAUUUUAAAACAAAUUAUUAUUUCUCCCAAUAAGUUAGACAAACGUAAAAAAAUUAAAUUGUAAUUAUUCAACUGCGAAAAACUACGAACAAAACGAACACGAGCUACGAACAUACACACGAACAUACCUACACUCUACGACGACAUCAUCGUAUCAAAACACACAACGUUUUUGGGCCAAACGCCAACAAUAGCAAACACCGUUGUUCUACAAAUAAGCGGGCGCGUCGCGCAGGCAAUCAGGCCAGGCCGUCAGUCAGUCAGUUGUUGAAGCGAUUAGAAAACCUGCAAUAAAAAAUCAAAAUCAGCUGAAAUUUUUCAGUCACAACACACCCAAACGCCCAUGUUUCCACGCUCACAAGCACACACAACUUGACAACAAGAAAUAAAUAAAAACUGCAGCUGACAUCGGCGCGGUCAACAACAACGACGACAUAACGAUGAUGUACGAAUAAAU